RNAcentral lists this long non-coding RNA (1088 nucleotides) under Chinchilla lanigera (long-tailed chinchilla). RNAcentral's name for it is "lncRNA (ENSCLAG00000024342.1)". Lineage: Eukaryota; Metazoa; Chordata; Mammalia; Rodentia; Chinchillidae. The record is from RNAcentral.
UGGAAUAGACAGUUCCAAGUAGGCCCUGCAUAACCAAAGGUGCAAAGGCCAGGAUGAGUUCAGGAUUUAGUUGUUGAGGUUUUGUGUCCCAAGGAAGUAAAAGUAAACUUGCUUUAGUUGAUACUGCAGGAAAUGUUCAAUAGGAAUUUAGGAUAUAUAUUGCUUUCCCCUGGUUUGUAUAUUCCAUUCUAGUGUUGCCAAGUGAUGUGUUCUGGAAUUCUUAACCAUCACUACCAGUUGGCUACCUGAAGCAUCGUUGGCCAUUUAACAAAAUGACUGAAAAACGCAAGUCUUUAUAUAUGCGAAUUGGGGUUCAAAUACGUAGGUAUUUCUCCAGGCUGCGGACCCAACUCCGGAAAUGUUGGAGUGUCAUUGUUAAGGGCUCUUUUGUUAAUAAAGAAGAAGAACCUAGUCUUCCAACUGAUAGUACUUUUUACAAGGAAAGAAUUAUAGCACUUGGCUACGUGUUGAAGAAUAAAUCUCUGUCCCUUGAAAUAAGAGCUCAAGCUGCGAAGAAAAUUGGACUUCUGGCCUUCACAGGAGGACCAGGUGCUGAGAAACUUGCAGCUGAGUACAUGAAAGAAGUAGCUCACUUGUUGCAAAAUGAUAUCGUGGCACCCAGAAUUAAGAUCCUGCUGCUCAAGGGUGUAGCGUGUUGGUGGUACUUGAACCCUGGGAGCCAGAAAAUGACCAAACACCUGAACUUCAUUCAUAUUCUUACAGGAUUGUUGGAAAGUCCUCUUGAAUAUUCCGUCAAGGGAGGAAAAAGCAGCCUCCUACUCCUCGUUAAAUUUUGGACUUGUUAUGCUCUCUGUGUCUUAGUGUACAAUAACUUAUCUUUCAUAGGAGAGCUUAAAAACUACAAUGCUCUAAAAUAUAAUUUGCAAAUAUUGGCUUCUGAGAAUUGGUUUGGAUGGCCUGAGAAUUUUGCAGAACUGCUGCAUCACCUAAUUUGUCUUUAUAGUAAGUAAUUUCUCUAAAUCAGUUACACGAUGCAGCUAUCUGUGCCACUGUAUUAUCUUGGCAAGAGACCUGAAAUAAAUAAUAAAAUAUGAUAUAUUAUUCUUUAGUGUUAUCUUUGGUAGUUG